Monodelphis domestica (gray short-tailed opossum) is the source of this 105-nucleotide small nuclear RNA. The record is from Ensembl. Lineage: Eukaryota; Metazoa; Chordata; Mammalia; Didelphimorphia; Didelphidae.
GUGACCAUUGACUCACUUCAGCAGCAAAUUGGAAGGAUACAGUGAAAAUUAGCAUGGUCUCUGCAUAAGUAUGAUACGCAAAUUCAACAACAGUUCUAUAUUUUU